GCUGUGGCAGGAGUGCCCCCCGACUCAGCUCCUUACUGAAGUCUGUUCCCGCCUCCACCUGCCUGGAGAAUACAGCCUGGUGUAAGAGCCGCCUGGGGUGUCCGGUGGUUCCAGGCUUGGGGGGAGGGAUGUGGGGACCGAGUGUCCCAUGAGCAGUCCCAGUCCACAUGUGCGGCAGGGCAUUGUUCUGGGAAGUCCUGAUACAGAAACCGGCAAGGCCCUCCAAUGAACGAGGAAACUGGAGCAGAGAAGCCAAAUCCGGAAGCAAGCCAGCGCUGGGGUCCGCUGAGCCCCUGCCCCCACCCGCAGGGCUGCGGGUCCCCAGCCCCGAGGCUUCCUGCACAGCUACUUGGAAACAGCUGAAGGCACUUAAAUGGAACUCCCAACCUUUGUCCUCAACCCCGAGAGCACAGCUGGAGCUUCCUCUCCGCACUAAUUGGGAAAACAUCCUCUGGGAAAUGGGGCAUCUUUAUUGAGUUGAUCUUUGGCGUUGACGACGUCAGCUGGCAAGCGCAGAGGUGAAGGCUCGGAAACACUCGGAGUGCACAGGUCCAAGAAGCCAGGCCGACCUGGCCGAUAGCCAGACCCCCAUCCGGAAAAACUACAGACCACAUUAAGGAAGGGCAAGCUAGAGACGUGGGGUCAACCCAGCGGUGAAACAACUGCCCAAGGUAAAGGGCCCCCGAUUUUCUUCCCCUUCUUCCUCAUAAACAGUAGCCCCAAAUAUUAACGGCAUAAUUAAGACCACAUUUCCCAGACUCCCUGGCAGCUGGGUGUGGUCCUGUGACUAAAUUCAGAAUAAGGAGAAGUGGAAGGUGCAACUUCCGGGAAGGGUCCGUGUCCUCCUCCCUUGCCUUCCUUGCUGAGGGUUGGAAUGUGACGGAGUUUUAGCAGCCCUUUUGAACAAAGAGGUGGCUCUGGAAAUGGAAUCCAUGCCAAUGGAUAGCAAAGUGCCACAUCAGGGAUCUUCGAAAAAUUCAGAGGGGUGGGCCUUUGGGGUAGGGGUGAAGAUGCUACUCAACACAUGUGCAUCCCAUGUUGCAGUGCUUGGGUUCAAGUCCCAAAUCUGCACUGAAGUCCAAUUUCCUGCUCGUUAGCACCUUGGGGAUCAGCAGGUCGUGGCUCAAGUACUUGGGUCCCUGACGCCCAAGUGAGAAAACUGGAUUGUGUUCCCAGCUCCUGGCUUCAGCCUGGCCCAGCCCUGGCUGGUGCAGGCGUUGGGGGAGUGAUCCAAUGGAUGGGAGAUCUCUGCCUGUCUGUCUGUCUUUGUCUCUCUCUCUGUAUGUCUCUCUGCUUUUCAAAUAAAUUAAACAUUAAAAAGUCCA
RNAcentral lists this long non-coding RNA (1325 nucleotides) under Oryctolagus cuniculus (rabbit). RNAcentral describes it as "lncRNA (ENSOCUG00000030535.1)". The record is from RNAcentral. Lineage: Eukaryota; Metazoa; Chordata; Mammalia; Lagomorpha; Leporidae.